AGUGAACGCUGGCGGUAGGCCUAACACAUGCAAGUCGAACGGCAGCACAGUAAGAGCUUGCUCUUACGGGUGGCGAGUGGCGGACGGGUGAGGAAUACAUCGGAAUCUACUUUUUCGUGGGGGAUAACGUAGGGAAACUUACGCUAAUACCGCAUACGACCUACGGGUGAAAGCAGGGGAUCUUCGGACCUUGCGCGACUGAAUGAGCCGAUGUCGGCUUAGCUAGUUGGCGGGGUAAAGGCCCACCAAGGCGACCAUCCGUAGCUUGUCUGAGAGGAUGAUCGGCCGCACUGGAAUGGAGACACGGGCCAGACGCCUACGGGAGGCAGCGGUGGGGAAUAUUGGACGAUGGGCGCAAGCCUGAUCCGGCCAUACCGCGUGAGUGAAGAAGGCCUUCGGGUUGUAAAGCCCUGUUGUUGGGAAAGAAAAGCAGCAGGAUAAUACCCCGCUGUUCUGACGGUGCCCAAAGAAUAAGCACCGGCUAACUUCGUG
Molecule: ribosomal RNA, 492 nt
Filed under: uncultured bacterium
Lineage: Bacteria
Description: partial 16S ribosomal RNA
Rfam family: Bacterial small subunit ribosomal RNA
Source: RNAcentral